UAGAAACAGCGAGCCUGUAACAGAGAAUUGAACUAAGAAGAAGAAGAGAGAGAGAGAGAGGAGUGUGUGUGUGUGAGAGAGAGAGAGAAAGCGAAAGAAGCGAUUUAGGAGUGUUUAUUUCUCAGCAAUCUCUCCAUCUGUGCUUUGCAUGAAUGAAUGUCUCUGGAUGUGCUGUGUGCAUGAACAUGGCACAUGACACACUGGGGCUCCGAUCGAUCCCCCACAUGCCUGAAGUGCACUUUUAUUAACCUGGAACUUCUUUACUCUUUUAAGAGAUCACUCUUUCUUCCUUCCCUGAGAGAGAGAGAGAGAGAGAGAGAGAGAGAGAGAGAGUGCGUGCGUGCGCGUGCUGUCUGAUUGAGAGAAAAUAAUUCAUCUUCAUCCUAUCUUCAUGAUCCAGUAACACCUGGAAAAAGACACCUGUCCUCUCAACAUGUGGAUCUAGCAGCAUUUUCUUUAAAGGAUUGCUUCUGCUUUGGAUUUCUUUCACUGCUUUGAAUCAGAGUUUUCAGUGGAUAGUGAGAGACGAUUAUUUAGCAUAUAUGGAAGGAGCCUCCAGUGUCAGCACUUUGUAACAGACAGCUGCAAGUGUUGCAGAUGGAAGCUGGUUCUUUGUAACAUGACAACGGAACAGACCAUCUGUUUAAAAUGUAAGAUUUGUCAUUCUUUAAUAAAUAUAAAGACACUGAAGGUACAAAAUAUGUGCUCUUAAUGGUACCACACCAGCGACAAGCAAAAGUACAGUUCGGUGCCUUUAAUUCUGAUAGUGAUAAUGGCCCAUAAUUAGUGUAGCUCUAGCUCAAAUUGUGUGUGGGUGUGUAUUAAGAGCCAUAUGAUAGACUGCUCUCUGGAUACAAGAAAGGUUACUGCUAAUUAAACCGCAUUCUUCUUCACUGGAGCGCAAAAUGCUGAGUGCCCCAAGUGAUCCAGUGGCAGCUGUUGCUCUCCAAACACCUCCGAACCCUGUCUGCUUUUCGCACCCGGUGUGUUUGUGUGUGUGUGUGUGUGUGUGUGUGUGUGAGCUGAAUUGGUUGUCCUGCCAUUCUCAGAGAAGAAGGUGUGAUCUCAAGCUCGCGAAAGUCUUGAGUCUCAGUCACUGGUGUGUUCUGUCUUCUGUCUGCUGAGGGAAAAAAACAACCCUGUGGAGAGCCUCAAAAUCUUGUCAGGUCUUUCACAUCUUCACCUCACGUCUUGCACUCUCUGAUAAACAUCACACUAAACAGCUCUGAUUUACAUGCCAAUCCCUUUAUCACAGAGCUCCUUUUCCCAGGAAGCACCUCUCAGAUGCAGGAGUAGGGGUGUGUGGGGGAAUUUCGAUCAGUGAUAAUGAAGCAGUCCUGUUUCAUAUAAUGUGAUAUCUUAUGUACCGUAUCAGUCAUGGUGUCAGUUAUCUCUUAUUCGUCUUUCUAUGGAAAGAAUGCUGAGGUGACUAAAGUCCACGAAAUAUCUAAUGC
Ictalurus punctatus (channel catfish) is the source of this 1454-nucleotide long non-coding RNA. The record is from Ensembl. NCBI's taxonomy places the organism in Eukaryota, Metazoa, Chordata, Actinopteri, Siluriformes, Ictaluridae.